CAUUAAUAGAAACAAGUGUCUGUGCAUAAUAAGAACAGUAAUUAACACUGUAACACAACACUCCAGUGACUACGAUCCACACAGGGGGAGAAAUAAACAUCAAAAUCACUAAAUACAUUUUCCCUCUAACUUUCUAUUUUGAUGGACAGGGUCGGUCCUGGCUGUGACUCCAGGGUCGUGACCUUUGGCUGGGCUGUAGUUUUAUAAGAGGAGUGAUCCUGCUCCUUGAUUGGCUGGAAGGUGCUCAGCAACUGACAGUCCACCCGCCUGCGAUAUCACACACCUGCCAGUUCCUGUCUCUCACAAGUUGGCUCUGGGGGUGGAUCAACAAGUUUAAAUUGUGAGUCUCCCUCAUGUGUUACACAGUUAGGAGACUGAUACAGGCUCUUGAAUUUCAAAAGCAAUACUUAAUACAGUUAAUUUGUCAAUCUGAUCGCUUUCAUCCGUCGAGAAGAGGGGUCUGAGAGAGCAGUAAGACCAUCAGUAUAUAGUUUUUAUUCCGCAGGCAUCUUCUCGUAUGAAUUAAUUUACAAAAACAACUAAGGAAAAGUUCAUAUUAACGGGAUUAGGUUCAUUAUAACUGGCUGAAGCCAAUCAUUGAAUACCUGGCCAGCAUCGUGUCUGCUCUGUCUUUGCUGUGAUAUAUCGGGCUAACACGAGUCCUGGAGUAUCACAGUGUUGGGUUGUGAGUCAGCGCGCCAGCCAGCCAGUAUAAGAGCACUUUGCAUGUGGAGCAGGGAUGAGACUGUGCAGCUCUGGGACUGUCGACUAGUCUGCCACUCAGAGGCGAGGCUGCAGAGAGACCGAGUCCACGCUGGAAACAGUCUGAACCAGCUGCUGCAGGCCACUCUGAAGAGCAUGUUGCUGAGAGAACCACAUCUCCACAGAGGACUUAAGAAGUCAAGUCUGAUUCCAACUUGACUGCCCCUGGUUAUGAAAAUCUGCACUCAGAGACUACAACGGUACGUCCUCAUAGGAGUUUAAGCUGACUAAAGAAAAAAACAAUUCUGAUUUUUGCAUUGUCAAAAGCUUCACGUCCUCAUGUUUGUGUCU
RNAcentral lists this long non-coding RNA (1053 nucleotides) under Mastacembelus armatus (zig-zag eel). Its description in RNAcentral is "lncRNA (ENSMAMG00000024340.1)". The record is from RNAcentral. Lineage: Eukaryota; Metazoa; Chordata; Actinopteri; Synbranchiformes; Mastacembelidae.